GUGCUAACAAGCCUGGCCUCUACCUCUGCUAUUGCUGAAGCUCUCUCUCCUCUGAGACAGGAGAUUCACAGCAAUUGCCUUGCAGACACUUCUGGCAGCACAGAGCAGGGUCAGGGCUCAGCCCUGGAUGCCCAGAGCCCAUUCUGUGUUUGCAGUCAAGUCUCAAAAAGCUGCACCCUCUGAUGCUCCUCCAGCAGCCCAGUGUGUGUCCAGGGCAGGAACCCCAAAUGGAGAAGGCCCAGAAGGAGCCACUCUCAGCAGACCCCACUCUCCCCUUCUCAUACUUGGAUAAAGACAGGCAAGCCUGAAUGUGGUGUCUCACUUGUUUUAUUUCCCCUGGAUUAACACACAGCUCCAGUUAUCACCACAGCAGCAAAGCAGCCCCUGGGAGCAGCACAGACCAGGGCCAAGGGUGCAGUGCAGGAGCCAAGCCCUGGCUGAGUUUUGGUGGGGCACAGAGGGGAUAACAGAGCCCCUGGUUCUGCUCUCCAGCUGCCACCCCCUUCUCCCCAGCUUCUCUUGCAGCUGUGUUAAACAGAGGGUGGGUAAGCAAUUACCAGGAGUGUUUUCUUGGGAAGCCAACCUGCUGAAGCACUUGAAUGGCCUGUAGGCAAGGGAGGUGACGUCCAGGAACCAAGGCAUGCCAGUGGCUCAGAGGCACUCACAGUGUUCUCCCCUGCAGGUGCAGCAGUUGAAGAGAUGGAGCAAAUCAACCUUCCCUCACUCUUCCUGGGGUAAUGGCAUCUCCUCCAGAGCCUGGGCAACUGUUUAUCGAGAGGGCACAGAGCUUUAGGGUCCCUUUCAACUUAAGCCGUGCAAUGAUGCUAAGCCCUUGGUUCCCUGUCUUGCUCCUGAGGUCAACCAUCAGUACCCAUGGGUACAUGGGUGGGGGUACAAGCUGCAACAAUGAAGAGCAAAGCCCAACGCCCACUGCCAGUUUUAAGUCCUAGAAAUAAUGGCAGGGCUGGCUGAGGGUAGCAGAAAGGCACUGAAAAGGCACUGAGACGAAGCAGCAGGAAGCAAAAAUAAAGCUCCUGAGGAAGGUAAGCUCCAACCAAGGGCCUGGCUGUGCUUUCUAGGGCAACACCACUAGGUCUGCAGCCACAGCUUGGCAGGAGGGAGAGGGAGAGAGAUCCAUCAGCACACCUGAGACAUUUCUCUAGCAGAGGCUAAAGAGAAGCAGCUACUUCUGGCUGAGGAAGAUAAAAAGGGUCCUUGGAGGGGGUACAGCAGUGCUCGGGAAGGACAGGGAACCCCAGCAGCAAAGACGGGCCCAGCAGGAGAUGCUGGCACAGGGAGGAGGGGUCCCACCGAGAGCUGUGCUAAACACAGAAGAGGCACUCCUGAAAACUCCACAAUCAUAUUAACCUGUUAAUUUAUACAGCAUCUCUGUACAAAAAUAGAAAGGUUCUAAUAAGAUUAACAAUAUUAAAUAAAUAUUUAAUAGAAAAAAAAAAAAAAAGUCUUUGGCCUAGUUCAUAGCUCGUCCUUUGGGUUGAUGUUCAUUUCACUGCGUCCUACGUGCUCCUGGUCCAACAUGGCGAUCACUUCAUCUGCCUGGAUUCGCUCCAGCUCUCUGUAAAGUGGGUCCAAGGUAAACCAUAGAGCCACAGCGCACCGCUGCCCUUUGGUAACUGCCUUCACUCCAUGUGGGUUCUCACCACCGGAUGAGAAGCUGACCAUCCGUCCACACUUGGGCUUGAUGGAUGCCUGCAGGAAAACAGGCAAUGAGGGUGGCACACACUGGCCGUGUCUGGGUUCCCUGUGGCCCAGGGCCCUGCUGGGUGUCUGACCCCGAGACUAUGCCGGGCUCCUGCACGGUGCAGCCUCUGAG
Molecule: long non-coding RNA, 1834 nt
Filed under: Gallus gallus (chicken)
Lineage: Eukaryota; Metazoa; Chordata; Aves; Galliformes; Phasianidae
Source: RNAcentral